This 550-nucleotide ribosomal RNA is filed under the name uncultured bacterium. RNAcentral's name for it is "bacterial SSU rRNA". It matches the Rfam family "Bacterial small subunit ribosomal RNA", at positions 355 to 896 of the family's 1533-position model. The record is from RNAcentral.
UAGGGAAUCUUCGGCAAUGGACAGAAGUCUGACCGAGCAACGCCGCGUGAGUGAAGAAGGUUUUCGGAUCGUAAAGCUCUGUUGUAAGAGAAGAACGAGUGUGAGAGUGGAAAGUUCACACUGUGACGGUAACUUACCAGAAAGGGACGGCUAACUACGUGCCAGCAGCCGCGGUAAUACGUAGGUCCCAAGCGUUAUCCGGAUUUAUUGGGCGUAAAGCGAGCGCAGGCGGUUAGAUAAGUCUGAAGUUAAAGGCUGUGGCUUAACCAUAGUACGCUUUGGAAACUGUUUAACUUGAGUGCAGAAGGGGAGAGUGGAAUUCCAUGUGUAGCGGUGAAAUGCGUAGAUAUAUGGAGGAACACCGGUGGCNAAAGCGGCUCUCUGGUCUGUAACUGACGCUGAGGCUCGAAAGCGUGGGGAGCAAACAGGAUUAGAUACCCUGGUAGUCCACGCCGUAAACGAUGAGUGCUAGGUGUUGGGUCCUUUCCGGGACUCAGUGCCGCAGCUAACGCAUUAAGCACUCCGCCUGGGGAGUACGACCGCAAGGUUG